CCCUGGCCGCCCCACUGCAGCCCUUCGCUGGCCAGCUUUAGUUCCGGCCGAGGCGAGUAAAGCUGCCAGUUGAAGAGCUAUAGUGGGCGGCCACGC
Molecule: microRNA precursor, 96 nt
Organism: Petromyzon marinus (sea lamprey)
Lineage: Eukaryota; Metazoa; Chordata; Hyperoartia; Petromyzontiformes; Petromyzontidae
Gene: pma-mir-22a
Product: pma-mir-22a
Source: Ensembl